This 458-nucleotide ribosomal RNA is filed under the name uncultured bacterium. RNAcentral describes it as "partial 16S ribosomal RNA". It matches the Rfam family "Bacterial small subunit ribosomal RNA", at positions 338 to 795 of the family's 1533-position model. The record is from RNAcentral.
CCUACGGGAGGCAGCAGUGAGGAAUAUUGGUCAAUGGGCGAGAGCCUGAACCAGCCAAGUCGCGUGAGGGAGUACUGCCCUAUGGGUUGUAAACCUCUUUUGUCGGGGAGCAAAAGCCGGACGUGUCCGGCUGUGAGAGUACCCGAAGAAAAAGCAUCGGCUAACUCCGUGCCAGCAGCCGCGGUAAUACGGAGGAUGCGAGCGUUAUCCGGAUUUAUUGGGGUUAAGGGGUGCGCAGGCGGAUUUUUAAGUCAGCGGUCAAAUCGUGGGGCUCAACCCCAUCCAGCCGUUGAAACUGGGGAUCUAGAGUGUGCGAGAGGUAUGCGGAAUGCGUGGUGUAGCGGUGAAAUGCAUAGAUAUCACGCAGAACCCCGAUUGCGAAGGCAGCAUACCGGUGCACAACUGACGCUCAGGCACGAAAGCGUGGGUAUCGAACAGGAUUAGAUACCCCUGUAGUC